RNAcentral lists this ribosomal RNA (253 nucleotides) under uncultured bacterium. RNAcentral describes it as "partial 16S ribosomal RNA". It matches the Rfam family "Bacterial small subunit ribosomal RNA", at positions 524 to 776 of the family's 1533-position model. The record is from RNAcentral.
UACGGGGGGGGCAAGCGUUGUUCGGAAUUACUGGGCGUAAAGGGCUCGUAGGUUGCCAACUAAGUCAGACGUGAAAUCCCUCGGCUUAACCGGGGAACUGCGUCUGAUACUGGCGGGCUUGAAUUCGGGAGAGGGAUGUGGAAUUCCAGGUGUAGCGGUGAAAUUCGUAGAUAUUGGGAAGAACACCGGUGGCGAAGGCGGCCAUCUGGACCGCAACUGACGCUGAGGCGCGAAAGCGUGGGGAGCAAACAGG